This 253-nucleotide ribosomal RNA is filed under the name uncultured bacterium. RNAcentral describes it as "partial 16S ribosomal RNA". It matches the Rfam family "Bacterial small subunit ribosomal RNA", at positions 524 to 776 of the family's 1533-position model. The record is from RNAcentral.
UACAGAGGGGGCAAGCGUUGUUCGGAAUUACUGGGCGUAAAGGGCGCGUAGGCGGCCUUCUAAGUCGAACGUGAAAUCCCCGAGCUCAACUCGGGAACUGCGUCCGAUACUGGCGGGCUUGAAUCCGGGAGAGGGAUGCGGAAUUCCAGGUGUAGCGGUGAAAUGCGUAGAUAUCUGGAGGAACACCGGUGGCGAAGGCGGCAUCCUGGACCGGCAUUGACGCUGAGGCGCGAAAGCUUGGGGAGCGAACCGG